UCCAACUUGGAUGUGUAAAUUUACUGAAUAUGACCGUUAAUAAGCUUAAUUAUUAGUGAUUUCGGCCUUAUCCUGACAAUAAAUAUCUAAUUAUAAAUGAUUGAAUCCUUUUACUUAAUGCUUUUUGGUUUUGAAAUACAUCGAUGCAAUUUUCAUAAAGUUAUAUAAGCCACUAUACAAUUUUUAAAUAAGGAAAUUGUGUUUGUCAGGUUGCCUAUUGUCGGAAAACCUCGUACCAUAUUCGAUUAGUGAGGUUAUUUUCGCAGUUGUCUGACUUAGCUUGUUUAAGUGUAAAUAGUGUUGUGGAAAGUCGUAUCAGUGUGUAAUAUGAUAAUUAAAGUGACUUACAUUACAAUUAAUAAUUAAGUAACUGAUAAAAUACUUGCAAUGAAGUAAAAUUGUGCGCAUUAGGAAACUGAACUCCCUACAGGAAAUCCAACGAUUGUGCUAUCGUUAACCGGAAUUACACCAAAACAAAUGGUUUCCAAUUGAUUCUAACUUGCACUAUAGUAAACAACAUCAGCUACAAAAGGUAAGAGUGAACAAAGUGGCAACGUUGGAUUUAUACAAACGCCGUAGGUCAUGCGAUAACACAG
Agrilus planipennis (emerald ash borer) is the source of this 596-nucleotide long non-coding RNA. RefSeq lists it as uncharacterized. Lineage: Eukaryota; Metazoa; Arthropoda; Insecta; Coleoptera; Buprestidae. The record is from RefSeq and is a predicted model, not a curated record. The transcript has 4 exons.